CAUUGCUACAGAAUGCAAACAAGUGCAUCUUCUUCCUAAUGGCAUCACUGUAGAGAUGCAAAAGAGAAACACCAAAUUCUAAGAUUUACUGCAGGAAUGUUCCUUAUGCUAGAUUAUGAAGACAAGCCAUAUGUGAGAAGAGACAGUUCGUAAAAGUAUUUAAAGCUAAAUUCAGAGUUUCUACUUCACUUUGUAAAAGCAGCUGUAAACCUGGUAAACAGGCAGAUGUAAGGGCCACUGAAAGUCUCUAGAACAGUGUGUCAAAGCAAAUGGAGCUGGGAACUUACAGUAGACCUGGCAAAAGGGGAUGGCAGUAUGGAAUAAACUGAAGGAAGGAUUGUUCAUGACAGAUCGAAGGUAAGAGCAUACCUCUACC
Molecule: non-coding RNA, 376 nt
Organism: Struthio camelus australis
Lineage: Eukaryota; Metazoa; Chordata; Aves; Struthioniformes; Struthionidae
Source: RefSeq, a predicted model, not a curated record